RNAcentral lists this ribosomal RNA (405 nucleotides) under uncultured bacterium. RNAcentral's name for it is "bacterial SSU rRNA". It matches the Rfam family "Bacterial small subunit ribosomal RNA", at positions 355 to 776 of the family's 1533-position model. The record is from RNAcentral.
UGGGGAAUCUUGCACAAUGGGCGAAAGCCUGAUGCAGCGAUUCCGCGUGGAGGAUGACGCAUUACGGUGUGUAAACUCCUUUUCUGGUGGAAGACGAAUGACGGUACACCAGGAAUAAGGGACGGCUAACUACGUGCCAGCAGCCGCGGUAAUACGUAGGUCCCAAGCGUUAUCCGGAUUUACUGGGCGUAAAGUGUCCGUAGCCCGAUAUAUAAGUCAGUUUUCAAAUGUCCUGGCUCAACCAGGAAAAGGGAAUAGAUACUGUAUAUCUAGAGAAUAUUGGAGGUUAGUGGAAUUUCCGGUGGAGCGGUGAAAUGCGUUGAUAUCGGAAAGAACGCCGAAAGCGAAAGCAGCUAACUAUGAUUAUUCUGACGGUGAUGGACGACAGCUUGAGUAGCAAACGGG